CAAUGCGUUCCCCAUCUUUCCCAGGUAGACCCGCGGAGAAUGGGAAGGGAGGGAAAGCUGUUCCUCUCCCUCAGGACGAGAGCAUCUGUCCAACUAUGGAGCAGCCUGGAAUGGUUCGGGAGGUUGAAGGCGCAGUCAGACACCUGGCAGGUUGGAGCCCAAGAAGAGCACACAUGGUGUGAGUGCACUGCUCGGGCUUCUGACCAUGAGCCACGGAGGGCCAGAAACUUGUGUUCACCUUCAGAGCCUGUGCCAAAGCCAAUGUUGACAGUCAGAGGUUCGUGGGUGGACUUUUGAGUGAUCCGCUGACCAGCCUGAAAAGAACACCCCUCCACCAGGUCUGGAUCUCUCUCUGCGAGAUCAGGUGGAUUUCGAUCAUUCCCCCCCCCCAACCCCCAGCUUACUCACGGCCUUGAUUCCUCCCGCAGGCCUUGAUGCCUUAGCCAUCCCCGCGUGCUGGACAGUCUCUGCGAUUUCCCCUUGAGAUGGAUCCGCGCUUCCCAAGCCAGGAGUUCCUACUUCACUUCCGGCCAGGAAGCUUUAUUGUGCCCAUUUCACAGCUGGAAAGGAUUAAGCCAGGUCCCCAGACCGCGAGAAGCAAAACCAGGAUUCACCCCCACAUGGAUCUGCGUCCUUCCUAUCCCCUUCCAGGAAAAAACCAGAGGCAGGGUGGUGACCUGGGAAGCCUCUAGCGAUAACAGAGGCCAACGUUAGGGUAACGCAGUGGGAAUUGCUGGCGCCGGGAUGCUGGGAAGGGGCAGAUCUGAGUCCUAGGGAAUGCAGGGUCUGGGUGGGCUGGCCAUCCUGGGGAGGGACACAAAGAGAUAAGAACUCAUUGCAGUAAAUUAUUUUUAUAGAGUAUCUUAUAAAACUUCCAUAAAUAGGACCUCGUUUGUUCCUCUUCACAGAUUUGGAAGGUCAGUCUCAGCACCCCCUUGAAUGCAGGUGCUCUGAUUCAAAAGCUGAUGCAUCUCCACUCCUCCCCUGCCCCCCAUGGCCCCAUCACACACUCUAGGGAACAAAUUCCACCUGGGAUGUGUGUGCCCUCUAUGUGCUCCAGGGCCUUGGUGAGAAGGUCACACCUACAAACCUCAGUGACCCAGCAAAAGGUUAUUGCUUGCACGAGUUUAACACCAGCGUAGAAAUUCUGGGAAGGAGGUACCAGAAAUUGAGUCAGAAUGGACCAAAGAGAGAUGGUGGAUGGUUGGUCAGGUCAGACUGAGGGUUUGUUUCUCUGGAAGCUCGGGGCACACUGACCUGGCUUGACAGUACCUCGGGGAGUGUCUCUCUGGGUAACUGUGCUCUCUGUAGAGCUGGAAGCUUGUCAGUCCUUGAGAAACGGCAACCUCUUGCCAGUAUUGGACUAUGGGAAUGAGAGAAUAAUUGUCCUAAAGGUGUUAAUGCUUGUCGCCAAAAAGUAAUUUCGAUUUAAUCAUGUAGU
This is a long non-coding RNA of Lutra lutra (Eurasian river otter), 1441 nucleotides long. RefSeq lists it as uncharacterized. Lineage: Eukaryota; Metazoa; Chordata; Mammalia; Carnivora; Mustelidae. The record is from RefSeq and is a predicted model, not a curated record. The transcript is spliced from 3 exons.